This 250-nucleotide ribosomal RNA is filed under the name uncultured bacterium. Its description in RNAcentral is "partial 16S ribosomal RNA". It matches the Rfam family "Bacterial small subunit ribosomal RNA", at positions 524 to 773 of the family's 1533-position model. The record is from RNAcentral.
UACAGAGGGUGCGAGCGUUAAUCGGAUUUACUGGGCGUAAAGCGUGCGUAGGUGGUCUUUUAAGUCGGAUGUGAAAUCCCUGAGCUUAACUUAGGAAUUGCAUUCGAUACUGGGAGACUAGAGUAUGGGAGAGGAUGGUAGAAUUCCAGGUGUAGCGGUGAAGUGCGUAGAGAUCUGGAGGAAUACCGAUGGCGAAGGCAGCCAUCUGGCCUAAUACUGACACUGAGGCACGAAAGCAUGGGGAGCAAAC